AGACCGCACCAAAAGAAAUGAAGAAGAAGAUAUUACUUCUGCGCCUUUCGGGGAAAGAAAAUAAAUGUUUUUAAGAUAUUAAUUCACCCCAUGAAAUGAUUUUUACUGCAAACACACUGUGGGGACAACAAAAGUCUACCCUUUUCUUAUUAGCUGGAAACACAUGGUGAUGCAUUUUUGUUUGUUUAGAGGAAAGAUUGAGACUUGUCUUGCUUGUUAAACAGCAGAUAGAUAGAAUGUAAAAUACAAACCAUAAAUGGAGAUCAAAGAGCUGGUAAAUGCCUACGACAAGUGUAGUGUAGAUGAGCUGUGUGUUUGUUUGUGUUUGUGUGUGUGUGUGCGUGUGUGUGUGUAUAUUUGUGUUUUUUCUGUUUAAUGGUCAGAUGGCUAUUGUGUGUAGUUUUUGCAUUUAUAUAUAAUACAGAUCAUGUGUACAGAUUUUACAUUUACAGUGCAUUUUCAUGAGACAGCUUCACAUUUUCCUGAGACAUGUGGCAUGCGUGUGUGUGUGUGUGUGUGUGUGUGUGUGUGUGUGUGUAUACCAGUGAGGUAAGAUUAGUGCUGCAGAACUUUCCAGCUCCCAGACCUGAUGAUCCCCCCACUGUGGAGCCUUCGUGGUGGUCUGUGGGUGGGGGGGAUAGCGGGAUCAGCCAAUGGGAGGGGUUCGUGUCUCGAGUCGGGAUCAUGUUGACUUGAAAUUAUGACACACUCCUCAUUCCCCUCGACUGCAAAAGCACUCACGGAAAUCACACGAAAAUUACGAGCGCAGAAGGAAAAAAAGACAAAGAGGCAAAAUACAAGAAAAGAAUAGGUUUGCACUCCUCACAUGUGUGUGUGUGUGUGUGUGUGUGUGUGUGUGUGUGUGUGUGUCACACAGGCCAAACGGCUCUCAAGCCCGAUCCGCCAGAUUUGGCUCUUCCCGCUCUUCUCUUCCUUCAUCUCUUUUUUUUUCCCCAUUUCUUUUUUUCCUCCUCCUCCUCCUCCUCCUCCUCCUCCUCCCUUUUCUUUUUAACUGGGCUCGCGCUCGCUCCUUCGGAGUGGCCCUUAAUUACAGGACGCGAUUGGCAGGACGCUCGAAUAUCUUGUUUUUUUGCGUUGUUGUUUGAGAUGUUUUGGUGGUUUUUCCCUUUUCUUUUUCUUUUUUUCUUCCUUUCCGGGGGCCCCUGUUUGUAGUGCGCUGGCCUGCGUGCGUCUCGUUCGUCCUUGAGAGAGGCCGGCUUGCGGUGUGAGCGGAGCGACGGGCCGGAAUGCGCCGCCACUGCCGCCGCCGCGCGCGCCCUCUCCCGCCUUUGAUGUCGGAGGCGCUAGCGUUUGUUUUUCUUUUUUUCUCUCGUGGUGUUUCAGGGAACCGGCACAUUGUUAAUUUGUGCUUUUCCUCCUUGUUCUCUCUCUCUGUCUCGCUUUGCUGUCUGUCCGACCUACGGGCCGCGUCAUUCAUGGCCAAAAAAACGAGGGAACACACAUGUUGUACGAAAGGGCUAAAUUCUCUCCCUGCUUUCUCGAGCUUGAUGUACAGAUGUCUCUCUUGAGACAUUGCCCCCGUUUAGCCUCCACAGUCCCACUGUCUGAUCAACCUCACUCCUCUCUCCUGCCAAGUCUGUUUGUGUUGUAAACUCCAGUGUUUCUCACUAAGUUUCCUCUCCCAUCAAACAGCCAUCUGCAAGCAGAAGCUUAAGGCAGCAAUGAGAGACGGAACCCUUUAAACCUGGGACUGGAUGUGGUUGGGUGAAAACAGGUGUCUUCGUGUUCCGUCUGCCGUCGGAGAGGGGACGAUUUACGAGUCUGUUUAUGAAGACGCUGUCAGAGUUGGCACUGCGGUGCAGGGACGCACGCUGGAUAAGAUGACACUCCCGAAAUAUCUCUCCCCUGAACUGGCUCCAGAGAGUGACAUCCCUCCAUCCGCCGCCCCUCCCUUUACGUGUGGGCCAGGCAGAUCUGACGAGGGAGCGGGAACUGAGACGGACAAAUAAAUAAAAAAAGAGCUGUCCUUAGAAGCUCUGGCUCAUCCGUCUCCCUUCCAUCCCGUGUCUCGUCCUUCCCUCUCUCUCUCCCUCUCUCCCUCUCUCCCCCUCUCCCCUCUCCCUCUCUCUUGUCCACCUGUGUAGCAAUCCACCCACAUAAGAGAGUCUGAAUCCAACUACACUUGUACUUCAAAGACCAUGAAAUCUUUAUUAAAAAAAUAAAUAAACGCAAUGUGUCGUCAGACGAGUGUCUCUGAAGUGAGUACAUUUUGUAUGACUUUUUUUUUUUGUGAAUGCCGUCUCCCUCGUAACUCUGUUCCUCAUUCUGUGCAGCUUGUCAGCUAGCCAGUGAAGUUGCGUCAGAAUGUCCGUCUCCAGAAAGACAA
Molecule: long non-coding RNA, 2347 nt
Organism: Clupea harengus (Atlantic herring)
Lineage: Eukaryota; Metazoa; Chordata; Actinopteri; Clupeiformes; Clupeidae
Exons: 3
Source: RefSeq, a predicted model, not a curated record